CAACUCUCAGGGUCGCACCUGGAGAGUUUCCAGUACUCUACCAGUCUUGACUACGUGAGGAAGAGUCAAGCAGAGGCCUGUCCAUUCCAUAUCUAGCUUGAUCCGUGGCUAGCUAGUGGAAGGCAAUCUGCUAUAAAU
This is a small nucleolar RNA of Ornithorhynchus anatinus (platypus), 138 nucleotides long. NCBI's taxonomy places the organism in Eukaryota, Metazoa, Chordata, Mammalia, Monotremata, Ornithorhynchidae. The record is from RefSeq and is a predicted model, not a curated record.